Non-coding RNA from Cinara cedri, 210 nucleotides. Lineage: Eukaryota; Metazoa; Arthropoda; Insecta; Hemiptera; Aphididae. The record is from the annotation of a GenBank genome assembly.
CGUAUCUAUUUGAUGGUAUAUGUUGUAUAACAAUUUUAUAGUCCAUAAUCUAUACUUUAAGUGCAGAUACGUAUGACAACAUUAACCAAAAACUUGAUGUGAAUGUGUACAUUCACUAGUAUAUGUCUAAAUAUUUUAUUAUUUUUCAACAUUCACCAAUUUAAAAGGUUUAUGUCGACAUUAACCCAUCAACAUCAUGUAUCUUUCUUU